Long non-coding RNA from Gorilla gorilla gorilla (western lowland gorilla), 2428 nucleotides. RefSeq lists it as uncharacterized. The record is from RefSeq and is a predicted model, not a curated record. The transcript is spliced from 5 exons. Lineage: Eukaryota; Metazoa; Chordata; Mammalia; Primates; Hominidae.
AGAAAACUGAGGUUGAAUUCAUAGGUUAGCCAUUAUACACAGUACUGCAAUGAACAUGGGAGUGUAAACAUCUCUUUGACACACUGAUUUCAAAUCUUUCAGAUCCAUUGUUGAUGAAAAUAUAAUCGGCUUUUGGUCUGAGAUGUAGGCAAAGCAGAAUUAUAAGAAAAAUUAAAGAAAAUUAACUCACCCUCCAAAUAUUGCCACUGGCCAAGAAAUAAAGGAAUCUAGUUUGUUCCCAAGUUACCAUAUCUCAGAGGCAUAUAAUGCUGUCCAAUUCUCUUGAAAACAAAAAUAAUUCAAGCUCCAAUAAUAAAGAUUUUUCUGCUUUGUUCUUCUGUGUCCCUUGUGCUGAGAAAACUCAUCUAGCAUAUGGGCUUUGACUCUUGGGUUUGAAAAAGGCACCGAUCCCUGCUAAAUUCUGAACACUGACAGUCAUCAGCCUUGGGAGAAGCAAUAAUCACAACGAUCUGCUUUUUAAUGAGGCAAAGGACCAGAAAUUAAGACUAUUAAAGUCCCCUAGGCCCAGGAACUAUCGCAGAAGAUAUGGGAACAUGAGAUUGUGAGGGCUGAUUUUGAGGGUUGAUUAGUUUAGAGUUUUCUAUAAAUUAAACAUUAAAAUCAAAAGCACACCGAUGCAAGGCCAGUGUCUCGGCCCAUGUGUUGGAAUAACAGGGUUUUCUUGGAUCAUUGAUCUCCUCUUUAAUAGAAAGCUGUAAAAGGUUUUAAAAGGUUUAUCAAAAUCUUACCUUAUGGUAAAACUGAUUAAAAUUGUAUUUGUUUAUAAGGUUUUAUUUAAAUUAGCUUUAACAUUAAUAAUACAGCAUACAAGGUAAAAUUUGGUUUUCUCUUUUGAAUAAAAUUUUUAUGUAAGGAAUAAUAAGAUUUUUGUUUACCUUUUGAGUCAACUGCAGGGGAAAAAAAAGGGAGUGGGGGGAGACAGAUUUAGUUGGCCUCAAGCUGUCAUAAGUAUCAGGUCUUAUUGUUUGGGAAACUGAGUGUCUUCUCUAUCAAAAGGUAAAUGUUUUUGUGCUAUCAUUUUGGCUAAACAAAUGACUAUUUUAUAAUAACCGUGAUCCUAUUUUGUGAUAUAUCAAAUGUCUUAAACAUUUGAUAGUUGACAGACUUUCCAACAGCAAAAUUUCAGAGUCUAAAUUCAGCCUUUUUGACCUCAAACUAACUCUUUGGAUAUUAGGUUCCCUCAAUUCCAAGAAAGACAUAUUAGGCUUACUAGGCUUUUGUUAUGUUAGAAUUAUGCAGAAAGCAUUGUGAAAUCUGAGGUGGUAUUUAACUUCCUUUCGGCUUAUUUAUAUAGAUGUGUUGUUAAUAUGCAUUCCAGUAUUAUAUGAGAUGCCUAAAAUUCUGAUAUGUCUUAAUAUAUGUUGUCUGUCAUAAUUAUGAUUACUACGUUAAAUUAUUGUAUGCCACAGAAAUAACCAACCGUCCUGGUCAACUGUGUCUUUAUCUAUGGCUGACUUAAGCCUUUUGUCAUCUACAAUCGUUGUUUUGCUUUGAUCCUUCUCAAAAAGUGACUUGUAAUCAGCUAUGGUCCAGGGCUUGCUUCUUUGGAGGAUUUCAUGAAAAGGAUUCUUGAAUGCAGGUUUCUGAUAACUUUGGAGAUUGUGCCACUGGAAUAGAGAGAAAACUUCCAGUGAACUAAGUGGAAGGCUGAUGUGUUCAUAAACAUAGCUAAACCAAUAUCAAGCAGAGCAAGAGUUGAUUGCAUGAACUGAACUAAUGGAGGACUAAAAUAAUAUUUAUGGCUUUUUUUUGAAAUAUUGCUGAUUCUUUUUGUUUUGUUUUUCAGAAUAAGUUUUGAAUAAUGUCUUUCUUUUGAGCUAUUUAUAGGCUUUAAAUAUAUUUUUUAGUAUAGUGAGUACAUCAUACUUCUGUAAACACACUUUUGAAGCAUAUUUCUCUCUGUCUAAUUUAUCCAGAAUUUGUAAACUACUUGUGAAUAUUUUUAAUUAAUGGCAAUGUGGUUGCUUGCAUACAUUUAAUAACAACAUGUUUUCUUUUAUAAUUGGCCAUAAUUGGAGGAACUUGUUAUUUUCUCAGGCCUUUGACUAAAAUGGCAUUGUGAGAGGUUCCAGCAAAGCCAAUUUAGGAGAGCGUAUAUGGACAGUGAUUCUUGCUGCACAUUGUGUGGGUAAUCAGGCCGAGUAUACGAGACUGACACUUAUUUUGCAGAUAGAUUGGUUCUGUUGUGAUUUGUCUUUGGUGGAAGUGGGGGACUGGAGAAAUAAAUAUUGUGUUUCUGAAGAAAACUAUAGUAUUACAUUAAUCUUUGAUUCCUGAGUGGCCAUGAGGUCACCCAUGGAUGGGAGUUGCUCAUGAAACCCCUCCUCAGCAUGAAGCAGCCAGAAAGAUCAACAACUGGAUUCCCCAUGAUUGAAGAAUUGAUAAAUAAAAAAGGGGACUGAAACCG